GACGAACGCUGGCGGCGUGCCUAAUACAUGCGAGUAGAACGCACAGUUUAUACCGUAGCUUGCUACACCAUAGACUGUGAGUUGCGAACGGGUGAGUAACGCGUAGCUAACCUGCCUGGUAGCGUGGGAUAACUAUUGGAAACGAUAGCUAAUACCGCAUAAUAUUAAUUAUUGCAUGAUAAUUAAUUGAAAGGUGCAAUUGCACCACUACCAGACGGACCUGCGUUGUAUUAGCUAGUAGGUGAGGUAACGGCUCACCUAGGCGCCGAUACAUAGCCGAACUGAGAGGGUGGUCGGCCACACUGGGACUGAGACACGGCCCAGACGCCUACGGGAGGCAGCAGUAGGGAAUCUGCGGCAAUGGACGAAAGUCUGACCGAGAGACGCCGCGUGAGUGAAGAAGGUUUUCGGAUCGUAAAGCUCUGUUGUAAGAGAAGAACGGGGGUGAGAGUGGAAAGUUCACACUGUGACGGUAUCUUACCAGAAAGGGACGGCUAACUACGUG
This 505-nucleotide ribosomal RNA is filed under the name uncultured bacterium. RNAcentral's name for it is "partial 16S ribosomal RNA". It matches the Rfam family "Bacterial small subunit ribosomal RNA", at positions 28 to 507 of the family's 1533-position model. The record is from RNAcentral.